GAUGAAGAACGCAGCGAAAUGCGAUAAGUAAUGCGAAUUGCAGAAUUCAGUGAGUCAUCGAAUCUUUGAACGCACAUUGCGCCCCCUGGUAUUCCGGGGGGCAUGCCUGUCCGAGCGUCAUUGCUGCCCUCAAGCACGGCUUGUGUGUUGGGCCCCGCCCCCCGGCUCCCGGGGGGCGGGCCCGAAAGGCAGCGGCGGCACCGCGUCCGGUCCUCGAGCGUAUGGGGCUUCGUCACCCGCUCCGUAGGCCCGGCCGGCGCCCGCCGGCGACCCCCCUCAAUCUUUUCAGGUUGACCUCGGAUCAGGUAGGGAUACCCGCUGAACUUAAGCAUAUCAAAAGCGGAGGA
This 347-nucleotide unclassified non-coding RNA is filed under the name soil metagenome. RNAcentral's name for it is "partial contains 5.8S ribosomal RNA, internal transcribed spacer 2, and large subunit ribosomal RNA". The stretch from base 1 to 120 matches the Rfam family "5.8S ribosomal RNA", at positions 35 to 154 of the family's 154-position model. The record is from RNAcentral.